Molecule: ribosomal RNA, 275 nt
Filed under: uncultured bacterium
Lineage: Bacteria
Description: partial 16S ribosomal RNA
Rfam family: Bacterial small subunit ribosomal RNA
Source: RNAcentral
CCGCCGGCGACCGGCGCACGGGUGAGUAACACGUAUGCAACCUGGCCGUGACAGAUGGAUAACCGGGAGAAAUCCCGCCUAAUACAACAGUAAUGCCGGGAGGGGACAUCCCCCUGCCGGUCAAAGGGGGCGACCCCGGUCAUGGAUGGGCAUGCGGCGCAUUAGGUAGUUGGUGGGGCAACGGCCCACCAAGCCGACGAUGCGUAGGGGUUCUGAGAGGAAGGUCCCCCACAUUGGAACUGAGACACGGUCCAAACUCCUACGGGAGGCAGCAG